UGCAGUCGAACGGGAAUCUUCGGAUUCUAGUGGCGGACGGGUGAGUAACGCGUAAGAAUCUAACUUUAGGACGGGGACAACAGUUGGAAACGACUGCUAAUACCCGAUAUGCCGCAAGGUGAAACCUAAUUGGCCUGGAGAAGAGCUUGCGUCUGAUUAGCUAGUUGGUGGGGUAAGAGCCUACCAAGGCGACGAUCAGUAGCUGGUCUGAGAGGAUGAGCAGCCACACUGGGACUGAGACACGGCCCAGACUCCUACGGGAGGCAGCAGUGGGGAAUUUUCCGCAAUGGGCGAAAGCCUGACGGAGCAACGCCGCGUGAGGGAGGAAGGUCUUUGGAUUGUAAACCUCUUUUCUCAAGGAAGAAGUUCUGACGGUACUUGAGGAAUCAGCCUCGGCUAACUCCGUGCCAGCAGCCGCGGUAAUACGGGGGAGGCAAGCGUUAUCCGGAAUUAUUGGGCGUAAAGCGUCCGCAGGUGGUCAGCCAAGUCUGCCGUCAAAUCAGGUUGCUUAACGACCUAAAGGCGGUGGAAACUGGCAGACUAGAGAGCAGUAGGGGUAGCAGGAAUUCCCAGUGUAGCGGUGAAAUGCGUAGAGAUUGGGAAGAACAUCGGUGGCGAAAGCGUGCUACUGGGCUGUAUCUGACACUCAGGGACGAAAGCUAGGGGAGCGAAAGGGAUUAGAUACCCCUGUAGUCCUAGCCGUAAACGAUGGAUACUAGGCGUGGCUUGUAUCGACCCGAGCCGUGCCGAAGCUAACGCGUUAAGUAUCCCGCCUGGGGGAGUACGCACGCAAGUGUGAAACUCAAAGGAAUUGACGGGGGGCCCGCACAAGCGGUGGGAGUAUGUGGGUUUAAUUCGAUGCAACGCGAAAGAACCUUACCAAAGACUUGACAUGUCGCGAAACCCUGGGUGAAAGCUGGGGGGUGCCUUUGGGGAGCGCGAAACACAGGGUGGUGCAUGGGCUGUCCUUCAGCCUCGUGUUCGUGAAGAUG
RNAcentral lists this ribosomal RNA (992 nucleotides) under Microcystis aeruginosa WA23.1. RNAcentral's name for it is "bacterial SSU rRNA". It matches the Rfam family "Bacterial small subunit ribosomal RNA", at positions 56 to 1074 of the family's 1533-position model. Lineage: Bacteria; Bacillati; Cyanobacteriota; Cyanophyceae; Chroococcales; Microcystaceae. The record is from RNAcentral.